AUCUCGAAAGCCUGUCCCAGUUCGGACUGGAGUCUGCAACCCGACUCCACGAAGUUGGAUUCGCUAGUAAUCGCGCAUCAGCCAUGGCGCGGUGAAUACGUUCCCGGGCCUUGUACACACCGCCCGUCAAGCCAUGGGAGCCGGGGGCGCCUGAAGUCCGGGACCGCGAGGACCGGCCUAGGGCGAAACUGGUAACUGGGGCUAAGUCGUAACAAGGUAUC
RNAcentral lists this ribosomal RNA (221 nucleotides) under uncultured bacterium. RNAcentral's name for it is "partial 16S ribosomal RNA". It matches the Rfam family "Bacterial small subunit ribosomal RNA", at positions 1271 to 1500 of the family's 1533-position model. The record is from RNAcentral.